This 740-nucleotide long non-coding RNA is filed under the name Erythranthe guttata (spotted monkey flower). RNAcentral describes it as "long non-coding RNA (EGUT_LNC001907)". The record is from RNAcentral. Lineage: Eukaryota; Viridiplantae; Streptophyta; Magnoliopsida; Lamiales; Phrymaceae.
AUUACUAGUGAUAAUUUCAGACCAUUAGACUUCAACGGACAAAACUUUCAGUCUCAAAUCUUUUUUUCUAUAUAAAGAAACUUUGUUACGAUCAAAAGAAAAUAAAUCGAGUCACAUCGGAACAAAAAUAAUUAAAAGAAAAAUUUGGAUUAAGCAUGGCGAGGAUCAAUAUCUUGGCGGUGAUAGUGGCGGCGUUUAUUAUGAUGGCUGCUUUUAUUUCACCGACGGUGGCGACUACAUACAUAGGGUAUCCAGCUAUUGGAAAAGGUCGUGGUAAAGGAAAUACGCCGCCCGGUGUCGCGAACCCGUACGAACGACCUUGCGGGACACCCGAGAAAUGCCGCGAGGAUUGAGGGAAUUAUUAGUUACUACACAAGAAAUUCUAUCCAAUAUUAUGAUCACUUCAAUUAUAAUAUGAUUCAUUGAUUUUCCUUUUUUUCCCCCAUAUAUAUAAUAUAUGGAGAUUGUUCAAUAUGAGCUAGGUGAAAUAAAAAUUCAUGCAUGCCCCUAUGUUAUAGUUUGUUUGUUCUUUUUGGAAGGCAUGAAGAAUUAGAUGUUAUAGUUUGUUUUAGUUUAUGUAAAAUUCAUUUUUCCCUAUAUGUAAAUGUAUUAAUUAAAUCUUUCAUGUUCUAUAAACAUUAAUUUAUAUUAUUUUAAUUGAAUCUUAUAGAUACAUAUGUAUGUAUUUUAUGUGGGAAAAUUACAUUUUUCGUUCUCAUAAUAUACCCACUUUUUCAACA